This 406-nucleotide ribosomal RNA is filed under the name uncultured bacterium. Its description in RNAcentral is "partial 16S ribosomal RNA". It matches the Rfam family "Bacterial small subunit ribosomal RNA", at positions 30 to 526 of the family's 1533-position model. The record is from RNAcentral.
AUUGAACGCUGGCGGCAGGCCUAACACAUGCAAGUCGAACGAGUGGCGGACGGGUGAGUAAUUUCUUGGAAACUGCCUGAUGUAGCGGGCUGACUACUGGAACCGGUAGCUAAUACCGCUUACCAUCAUAUGUGCCCAGAUGGGUUUAGCUUGUGGGUGGGGUAACGGCUCACCAAGGCGACGAUCCCUAGCUGGUCUGAGAGGAUGACCAGCCACACUGGAACUGAGACACGGUCCAGACUCCUACGGGAGGCAGCAGUGGGGAAUAUUGCACAAUGGGCGCAAGCCUGAUGCAGCCAUGCCGCGUGUAUGAAGAAGGCCUUCGGGUUGUAAAGUACUUUCAGCGGGGAGGCGUUACCCGCAGAAGAAGCACCGGCUAACUCCGUGCCAGCAGCCGCGGUAAUAC